CGUAAUAGCUCACUAGUCGAGUGACCCUGCGCCGAAAAUGUACCGGGGCUAAACAGAUUACCGAAGCUGUGGAUUGGACCAAUAGGUCCAGUGGUAGGAGAGCGUUCUAAGGACGGCGAAGCCUGAUCGUAAGGACAGGUGGAGUGCUUAGAAGUGAGAAUGCCGGUAUGAGUAGCGAAAGACGGGUUAGAAUCCCGUCCACCGAAUAACUAAGGUUUCCUGGGGCAGGCUCGUCCGCCCAGGGUUAGUCGGGACCUAAGCCGAGGCCGAAAGGCGUAGGCGAUGGAUAACAGGUUGAUAUUCCUGUACUGCUGUCAAUUGUUUGACUGAUGGAGGGACGCAGGAGGCUAAGAAAAGCACGCGAUUGGAAGUGCGUGUCCAAGCAACAAGUCUGGUAGGACGUUAAAGGCGGCCAACCGUUAGGGACAAGUUGUGAUGGGGAGGGAAAUUUAAGUACCGAAGUUUCUGAUGUCACACUGCCAAGAAAAGCUUCUAGGGAAAAAGACAGCACCCGUACCGCAAACCGACACAGGUAGUUGAGGAGAGAAUCCUCAGGUGAGCGAGCGAACUCUCGUUAAGGAACUCGGCAAAAUGACCCCGUAACUUCGGGAGAAGGGGUGCUGUAGAAAUACAGCCGCAGUGAAAAGAUCCAAGCAACUGUUUAUCAAAAACACAGCUCUCUGCUAAACCGCAAGGUGAUGUAUAGGGGGUGACGCCUGCCCGGUGCUGGAAGGUUAAGAGGAGGGGUUAGCUUAGGCGAAGCUCUGAAUUGAAGCCCCAGUAAACGGCGGCCGUAACUAUAACGGUCCUAAGGUAGCGAAAUUCCUUGUCGGGUAAGUUCCGACCCGCACGAAAGGCGUAACGAUUUGGGCACUGUCUCAACGAGAGACUCGGUGAAAUUAUAGUACCUGUGAAGAUGCAGGUUACCCGCGACAGGACGGAAAGACCCCAUGGAGCUUUACUGCAGUUUGAUAUUGAGUGUUUGUGUGACACGUACAGGAUAGGUAGGAGCCUAGGAAACCGGAACGCCAGUUUCGGUGGAGGCAGUGGUGGGAUACUACCCUUGUAACAUGACCACUCUAACCCGCAUCUCUGAUCGAGAUGGGAGACAGUGUCAGACGGGCAGUUUGACUGGGGCGGUCGCCUCCUAAAGAGUAACGGAGGCGCCCAAAGGUUCCCUCAGAAUGGUUGGAAAUCAUUCGCAGAGUGUAAAGGCAGAAGGGAGCUUGACUGCGAGACUUACAAGUCGAGCAGGGACGAAAGUCGGGCUUAGUGAUCCGGUGGUUCCGCAUGGAAGGGCCAUCGCUCAACGGAUAAAAGCUACCCUGGGGAUAACAGGCUUAUCUCCCCCAAGAGUUCACAUCGACGGGGAGGUUUGGCACCUCGAUGUCGGCUCAUCGCAUCCUGGGGCUGUAGUCGGUCCCAAGGGUUGGGCUGUUCGCCCAUUAAAGCGGUACGCGAGCUGGGUUCAGAACGUCGUGAGACAGUUCGGUCCCUAUCCGUCGCGGGCGUUGGAAAUUUGAGAGGAGCUGUCCUUAGUACGAGAGGACCGGGAUGGACAUACCUCUGGUGUACCAGUUGUCGUGCCAACGGCACAGCUGGGUAGCUAUGUAUGGUUGGGAUAAGCGCUGAAAGCAUCUAAGCGUGAAGCCCCCCUCAAGAUGAGAUUUCCCAUCUUUUUAAAAGAGUAAGAUCCCUGAGAGACGAUCAGGUAGAUAGGCUGGAAGUGGACAUUUAGUGAUAAAUGGAGCGGACCAGUACUAAUCGAUCGAGGACUUAUCCAA
This 1784-nucleotide ribosomal RNA is filed under the name food metagenome. RNAcentral describes it as "bacterial LSU rRNA". It matches the Rfam family "Bacterial large subunit ribosomal RNA", at positions 1133 to 2925 of the family's 2925-position model. The record is from RNAcentral.